GGCCUGUUUCCUGUUUAAAGCUCACUGGAAUGUAAACCCAAGUCCAUUAGAUGGUGCAGUUGUAGGGAUGAGCGAGAGGGGGGGCACUAGCCUGCACGCUGACGUCAAUAAAAACAGUCAUUUCCAACCAGUCUGCGCAUUGACCGACCAUUCAAAACAUUACGCACAGCAUCGCGGCUGGACCACGCUAGACUACUCGACUGAAAUAAAAUGUUCGCCGAGCCCGGAGAGCGGAGACAAUGAGGAGAAGCUCCAUUGCAGGUGCGGGAGCAUCUCGGGAGUGUGAAGGCGAGGGGGGGGAGUCUCUCAUGGCGGAUCAUCACCACCUCCGUGCUCUACGCUUUUAGCCUCUUUACAGUGCUGCCUUGUCUAAUCAUGUUCAAGCAGCAUUGUACAGGGCUAUGACAGCGUAGAGAGCUGAGCUGCGUUUGUCUGACCCUUUGGAUGGCAGCCAGUCAAUGACAUCAUCCCUCAUAAACACACACAGCGGUGAGGAUUGUGGUCUCCGUGUGAAUCGAUGCCAAUACAGUGUCUUUUAAAGUUCAUGCGGAUGUGGUCAGGAGCUGGAACGGAUUGCUGGCACACAUGAAGUCCACCUUGAGGUUGAAUUUAUUCAACCUAAAAUCCCCUUUGCAGCCGGUAUAUUAUUGAACUCGUCAGUCACAUUGCGUUGCGCUGCUCUUGGAUCAGCCCUUGUGUGUGUGUGUGUGUGUGUGUGUCUCCUGUGUUACCAUUAUAUUCCGGUCACAGAGCUGAGCAUCCGCCCCUCCACCCCCAAUUGAAUAAGUAGUUCUUUUGAUGUGUUUAAGGGUUUUAACCAUUAAAAGAGCUGCAAUCAUGAGAGGCACACAAUACUUUCAGAUAUAGGUCAGUGAUUGGUUGUGUGUGUACUCGGCUGCAACCAGCGAUUUGUUAAUCUGAUGGGCUUUUUUCUUGAUUCAAAGAAUAGACAAAGAAAAUCAGCAUCUCUAAAGAAUUUUUGCUUAAAAAAUGACGAUUAAUCGAUUAUUAUAAUUUUUUUUGUCAUUUUGUCAAUUGUUUUAGCUGUAAUGUCGACCACAGAUAUAUAAUGUACUAUUAAAAAGAUUCAAAUGUG
Molecule: long non-coding RNA, 1096 nt
Organism: Dicentrarchus labrax (European seabass)
Lineage: Eukaryota; Metazoa; Chordata; Actinopteri; Moronidae
Exons: 2
Source: RefSeq, a predicted model, not a curated record